AAAGCAGGGACCGCCCACUGACCAGGAUUGCGCCGCAAGGACAGCGCGAGGAGGGUGAGCGUAGGACCGGCCUCAGGAAGAAGCCCGCAAGUUUCAGGAUGAUACCCAGGACACCUCCAGGAUGGAGAAUGUGAGCCGGUAAUGGAACACCGGCGAGGCAUGGAGUGCUUAAGGACAUACGUUUGAUAACGUAGGCGUUGCGCAAGGACGGGUACUGCCGACACGGAUUGUUGCAAUGUUAUCUUGUAUAACAAGCGUCAUGGAGGUAGGCAGGGAGCAUAAAUGUAGCGGGAUUGCUAUAAAACGAACCGGGGGUACUGUGUAAACAGUACCCCCUUUUCUUUGA
Molecule: small RNA, 346 nt
Organism: Sodalis praecaptivus
Lineage: Bacteria; Pseudomonadati; Pseudomonadota; Gammaproteobacteria; Enterobacterales; Bruguierivoracaceae
Source: Rfam